AUGGCCAAUUUCCAGAUAACUCCCCGCGCAGCGUUCGUGGAGAGCAAUGAGCUCAACUUCCGCAGCCUGUACCUUUUCCACACUCCCCUUGGUUCAAACCAGAAUCAGUCAGGCAUAAUAGACUCGAAUGUUACUACCGGUUUGGGUGCGGCAGUCGUUAACAACUGGCCGAUAUGUGAUGGCCCUAGCCCCGGCGCCACCGUUGUUGCGCGUGCACAAGGCCUGCAUAUCUAUGCCGGUAACUGGCAGAAUACUUUCAGCAUAACAUUCGAGGUUGAAAGGUUUAAGGGAUCAACGCUUCAAGUGAUGGGGAUAUCCGUCGAAGAAGGUGAGUGGGCUAUUGUUGGUGGGACAGGACAGUUCGCUAUGGCGACCGGUGUCAUCUAUAAAAAGUUCCAUGAACAAAGGAGCGAAGGUAACAUCAUAGAACUCACUAUCCAUGGAUUUUGUCCCAUGGUUCACAGGUGA
This 468-nucleotide ribosomal RNA is filed under the name Triticum aestivum (bread wheat). RNAcentral's name for it is "partial small subunit ribosomal RNA". Lineage: Eukaryota; Viridiplantae; Streptophyta; Magnoliopsida; Poales; Poaceae. The record is from RNAcentral.